GGGUUUCAUCACGUUGCCCCGGCUGGUCUUGAACUCCGUGACUCAAACAAUCCGCACGCCUAGUCCUCCCAAAGUGCUGAGAUUACAGGCCUGAGCCACCGCGCCCAGCCUGAACCUCCUACUUAAUGUCAGAAAUUUGAUUUGACUUCACAGGGAAAGCCCUGAGAAACUACCAGAACGGGGUCCCUGGGGCCAGUGUUGGGAGCGUACGGUGAAGGGGCAGGGCUGCUGCGCCCGUGCGGAACUCCCCUGUGGAAGAUUAGCCCGUUUGGUGACUCGUCGGUUCUGGCCGCUUUGGGACCCUCUACUGUGCAGUCUGAACUUUCAGCAGGUGGAGGAGGGCAGAGAGAGAGCUGAGAUUGUUGGUCCAUGCCAGUGCGAGAGCCAGUACGGCCGGAAGCCAUGAUGGGACUUUCAGUUCCUUUCUUGGUGGAGGCCAGCACAGGGGAGAGGGGGUGCCCAUAGAUGCUAGAAGCUUAAAGGCUGCUGGGGGCUAGCGGCCUCAAGACAUAAGGUUUCCAGACAGGACGGGGCAGGUGGUGAUGCAGCUGUAGCUCGUGAGUCUGAGCGGGAAACAGCCCCCGCACAGUCGGUGUCGCUGUGAACGGAAAAGGGCCUUCCUUACACAGGAAACGGGGUCUCUGGGGGAUCCAGUGACGUGCCCGACCACAGAGACCAGGUGAGACUGGCUGAUGGUGUCUGGGGCUGCAGGUGACUUAGUUGGGGGACCUGCUCUUGGCCUCCAGACUGGGCCUGAUGGCGUGGGCGCCUGCCUGUGUGCAGGCCCAAGGGCUCAGCUGCCUCUGUCUGUCCCCAGACCCCUCCUCCUGUAGAGAGUGGUGCUGCCCUCUCGGGAUGUACCUGCAGGUGGAGACCCGCACCAGCUCCCGCCUCCAUCUGAAGAGGGCUCCAGGCAUCCGGUCCUGGUCCCUGCUGGUUGGUAAGGCUCUCCACGUCCCUCCCCAGAACCCCAAAACCGGAAGCCUGACUUUCAAAAAGGAUGAAAAUGAAACAAAAUAUUUUCUCUUUUUUCUAUUACCUUGAAAUCUAAUGGCUAUUUUGUUUCUUCGUAUCCAUUCAAAUUCUAUCUGGUGUACUUGGUUUUACAGAUAAUGCAUGUCUGUUUUGUCCCCUUUUAAUCACUAACACCCAGAGUAUUUAAUAUACUCUAUGAGCUUUUCUGAGGUCACCAUAUUUUCCUUUGUACUUGUUUUGAACCACGUGAUGGGUGAUCGUGGGUUCCCAUGUCUCCUCCUCCCUGGUCCUCAGACCUCUUCAUAGGACUCACAGUCCACUUAGCCUCCUGUCCUCCAUCCCUACCCACCAGUAGGGUCCUGUACCCUUGGGGACAGCUGCACUUGUGUUGACGGGACACCGUGUGAGGAGUGGUGCUGGCUGUACCUCAGCAGCUGGGGCCCACCUUUUUUGUGACACGCCACAGCCUCCUGUGUGUUUUGCAUGACACGCUCGCUGUGUUGUAAUUUCUUUGUGCACAGUCUUCAGGCCUCACCACGUGCUACUGGAGUAACACCCGUGUCAGUUAUGGAGCCUCACACAGCAGAUGUGUCUAGUAAAUACUGUGAAUAGUGUAUACUGUGUUUUGCUUUUGUUUUCUUUAGUAAUGAGGUCUCGUUAUGUUGCCCAGGCUGGUCUCAAACUCCUGAGCUCAAGCGAUCUUCCUUCCUCGGCCUCCCAGGGAGCUGGGAUUACAAGUGUGUGAUACUACGCCCAGCUAUACUGCAUUAGUGAACCAACUUCCUGGCUGUUUCCCCUACUCUGAACCUGGUGGUCUGUAACCCCUGACCACAGCUGUUCCUACAGUGGGAAGGGCCUGCUCAUCAGGGGCUGUGGCUCCUGGUCCCGCUGCACCGGGGAGGUGGGGUCUUACCGGGAUCAAUAGGCAGGCAGUCACUUUCUCUUCAUAGGAAUCUUGUCGAUUGGCCUGGCUGCUGCCUACUACAGCGGAGAUAGCCUGGGCUGGAAGCUCUUCUACGUCACAGGCUGCCUGUUUGUGGCUGUGCAGAACUUGGAGGACUGGGAGGAAGCCAUCUUCGACAAGAGCACAGGGAAGGUUGUUUUGAAGACGUUCAGCCUCUACAAGAAGCUGCUGACUCUUUUCAGAGCUGGCCACGACCAGGUGGUGGUCCUGCUCCAUGAUGUCCGUGAUGUGAGCGUGGAGGAGGAGAAGGUCCGGUACUUCGGGAAAGGCUACAUGGUGGUGCUCCGGCUUGCGACGGGCUUCUCCCACCCCCUCACGCAGAGUGCAGUCAUGGGCCACCGCAGUGAUGUGGAAGCCAUCGCCAAGCUCAUCACCAGCUUCCUGGAGCUGCACUGCCUUGAGAGCCCCACAGAGCUGUCUCAGAGCAGCGACAGUGAGGCCGGUGACCCUGCAAGCCAGAGCUGACAGCCCCACUGUGCCUGAGCCCGUGCACCGCCCACAGGACCCGUGGCACAUUCCCGGUGUGCCUGAGCCCGUGCACCGCCCGCAGGACCCGUGGCACAUUCCCGGUGUGCCUGAGCCCGUGCACCGCCCGCAGGACCCGUGGCACAUUCCCGGUGUGCCUGAGCCCGUGCACCGCCCGCAGGAUCCGUGGCACAUUCCCGGUGUGCCUGAGCCCGUGCACCGCCCACAGGACCCGUGGCCUUGGCUUCAGUCGGUGCCUCCAGCCGAGUUGGCCUAUUGCCUGCUCAUGCUGCUGCUUGCACACUGCAUGAAACAGCAGGCCAGACCAGGACACCCAGACCUUCUCCAUCGUGAGGCCUGGGCCUGCCUUUCUGCAGCCGGAGGUCUCGCCAGCCCUGGACUCCUGCUGUGGGCCACAGCAAGACCUCGGGUGAGUGGAGAGGCGGGGCCAGGCCGGGCCCUUGUGGGUGCUGAUGCUGCAUGUUGUCCCCAACACAGCGUCCUCUCCCUGGUGGACAUCCCCAGCGGUCAGGUGCUUCCCCAAGGGCAGUGAGGGGUGAACAUCCAGGGCCUACCUGGCUGUGCACGCUGCAGCCACACUGUGGAAGCUGCCCCUCCCCGAGGACCCGCCUCCCUUGCUGAUGCCAGGAUCUCGGCGCAUAGACCACUCUGCCCCAGCGGUCGUCACAGAAAGGUCUCUCUGUUCCUCACACUCAGCCUCAGCAUAAGCUGUGAGGCCAGAAAAAAGGUCAGCUCUUCUAGUAUCGUGCAGUGCUUAAAAACUGGGAGCUCCGGCCGGGCGCAGUGGUUCAUGCCAGUAAUCCCAGCACUUUCGGAGGCCGAGGUGGGAGGAUUGCUUGAGGCCAGGAGUUCAAGACCAGCCUGGGCAACACAGCAAGAUCCUGUCUUUGUAAAAAAAACUAACCAAACAGGAAAAACUGGGAGAUUUUCUGCAGAAAUUGAGUUCCAGCCUCUCUCGAACCUGGGAAGACCUGGCAGGAGGGGCUCUCGGCUACAGACUUCUCCCCACCCCGUAGGAGCUGAACGCCAACCAUCCUGACCCGCCAGUGCUCUUGGUCUCCUGAGUGCACCCAGGUCCUCCCAGGUGCGGUGUGCACCGAGCGCGCCUGGCCUGAUGCCCUGGCCUGUGAGCUGGGGACUCCUGGGCCCUGUGAGCCCCUAGGUGGCAGGCCCAGGAAUGGCUGGGUAGGACAGGGAACACCUUUGCCCCACGUCUGGCUGUGACCUCGGUGAAAGCCGACAGGAGAGAGAUGGGACCCUCCUACUCAGCAGUGGCUGCCAGUCCCUCGUUGCAGGACAUGGUCAUCGUAACCAUAAAUAACCCUUCGCAUGUC
This 3759-nucleotide small RNA is filed under the name Pan troglodytes (chimpanzee). Its description in RNAcentral is "retained intron". The record is from RNAcentral. Lineage: Eukaryota; Metazoa; Chordata; Mammalia; Primates; Hominidae.